Molecule: unclassified non-coding RNA, 387 nt
Filed under: soil metagenome
Description: partial contains 5.8S ribosomal RNA, internal transcribed spacer 2, and large subunit ribosomal RNA
Rfam family: 5.8S ribosomal RNA (bases 1-120)
Source: RNAcentral
GAUGAAGAACGUAGCGAAAUGCGAUAAGUAAUGUGAAUUGCAGAAUUCAGUGAAUCAUCGAAUCUUUGAACGCACCUUGCACCCUUUGGCAUUCCGAAGGGUAUGCUCGUUUGAGUGUCAUUGUACUCUCACACUCUCCGAUCCUAUGGAUUCGGGGAGCGGUGGACUUGGGUGUUGCUGCCUUUCCUUGUGGCUCACCUCAAAUGUGUGAGUGCACCUCUUGGUUGGACAUAGUACGGCGUGAUAAGUGUCUUCGCCGGCACCUCGCAAGAGGGUGGCCGAUCGGGAGCUCUGUGCUUUCAAACCGUCUUCGGACAAUUUCUGACAACUUGACCUCAAAUCGAGUAGGACUACCCGCUGAACUUAAGCAUAUCAAUAAGCGGAGGA